AUACGUAGGUGGCAAGCGUUGUCCGGAAUUAUUGGGCGUAAAGCGCAUGUAGGCGGUAAUUUAAGUCUGUCGUGAAACUGCGGGGCUCAGCCCCGUAUGGCGAUGGAAACUGGGUUACUUGAGUGCAGGAGAGGAAAGGGGAACUCCCAGUGUAGCGGUGAAAUGCGUAGAUAUUGGGAAGAACACCGGUGGCGAAGGCGCCUUUCUGGACGGUGUCUGACGCUGAGAUGCGAAAGCCAGGGUAGCGAACGGGAUUAGAUACCCCGGUAGUCCUGGCCGUAAACGAUGGGUACUAGGUGUGGGAGGUAUCGACCCCUUCCGUGCCGGAGUUAACGCAAUAAGUGCCCCGCCUGGGGAGUACGGUCGCAAGGCUUAAACUCAAAGGAAUUGACGGGG
Molecule: ribosomal RNA, 396 nt
Filed under: uncultured bacterium
Lineage: Bacteria
Description: partial 16S ribosomal RNA
Rfam family: Bacterial small subunit ribosomal RNA
Source: RNAcentral